Molecule: ribosomal RNA, 396 nt
Filed under: uncultured bacterium
Lineage: Bacteria
Description: bacterial SSU rRNA
Rfam family: Bacterial small subunit ribosomal RNA
Source: RNAcentral
UAAUACGUAGGGGGCAAGCGUUGUCCGGAUUUACUGGGUGUAAAGGGUGCUCAGGUGGACUUUUAAGUCAGAGGUGAAAUCCCAAAGCUUAACUUUGGAGCUGCCUUUGAUACUGAAAGUCUUGAGUGUGAGAGAGGGCAAUGGAAUAUCUGGUGUAGCAGUGAAAUGCGUAGAUAUCAGAUAGAACACCAAUGGCGAAGGCAGUUGCCUGGCUCAAUACUGACGCUAAAGCACGAAAGUGUGGGGAGCAAACAGGAUUAGAUACCCUGGUAGUCCACACCCUAAACGAUGAAUACUAGAUGUUGGUCUUUUAAUAAGAUCAGUAUCCAAGCUAACGCAUUAAGUAUUCCACCUGGGAAGUACAAUCGCAAGGUUGAAACUUAAAUGAAUUGACGG